CGCACGAGCUUAGACUCGUAGGCAUAUAGCUCAGUAACACGUGGCCAAACUGCCCUACAGACCGCGAUAACCUCGGGAAACUGAGGCCAAUAGCGGAUAUAACUCUCAUGCUGGAGUGCCGAGAGUUAGAAACGUUCCGGCGCUGUAGGAUGUGGCUGCGGCCGAUUAGGUAGAUGGUGGGGUAACGGCCCACCAUGCCGAUAAUCGGUACGGGUUGUGAGAGCAAGAACCCGGAGACGGUAUCUGAGACAAGAUACCGGGCCCUACGGGGCGCAGCAGGCGCGAAACCUUUACACUGCACGACAGUGCGAUAGGGGGACUCCGAGUGUGAGGGCAUAUAGCCCUCGCUUUUCUGUACCGUAAGGUGGUACAGGAACAAGGACUGGGCAAGACCGGUGCCAGCCGCCGCGGUAAUACCGGCAGUCCAAGUGAUGGCCGAUAUUAUUGGGCCUAAAGCGUCCGUAGCCGGCCGGACAAGUCCGUUGGGAAAUCGACGCGCUCAACGCGUCGGCGUCCAGCGGAAACUGUCCGGCUUGGGGCCGGAAGACCUGAGGGGUACGUCCGGGGUAGGAGUGAAAUCCUGUAAUCCUGGACGGACCACCAAUGGGGAAACCACCUCAAGAAGACGGACCCGACGGUGAGGGACGAAAGCUAGGGUCUCGAACCGGAUUAGAUACCCGGGUAGUC
This 687-nucleotide ribosomal RNA is filed under the name Haloarcula amylolytica. RNAcentral describes it as "bacterial SSU rRNA". It matches the Rfam family "Archaeal small subunit ribosomal RNA", at positions 60 to 746 of the family's 1478-position model. Lineage: Archaea; Methanobacteriati; Methanobacteriota; Halobacteria; Halobacteriales; Haloarculaceae. The record is from RNAcentral.